AUAAUCUGCCUUGUGUCGUUUUCUUGGGUCCCGAACCAAGAGAACGACACAGGCCAGAAAGGAAAACAGGUGGCUGAAGAGCCUAUUUAAUAUCAAUAGUAAAAUUUGCUUCAUUUAGAAGCACUAGACCUCUCGUCGUCGACACAGUUACAGAAACCGAAUCAGCUAUUCAAUGGGCUUGUAUAAGGCAGAAACAGACUGAAGCCAUUACUCUCAAAAUUGUAACCAAAACAAACGGCAGCAUUACUUGGAAUUUCAGCAAAGCGCACUCUUGCGCUUUCCAUCAUUCAAGAGAUCAUGAUUAUUCCCGCUAUUUCUAUGUUAAACCAAGAACUGAAAUUACAAUAACAAAUCAAGUUAACUUCCUGUCAUGCCUCAUUCACAUAGCUAAGCUUACUUUAAGUAUUAGGUAUAGUCUUUACCAUAUUUCUUGGUGAAGUUUCAUUUUUGUCUCGUCUUUUAUACUGAGGAUCAUCGUACCGUAAGAAGAAAUGUCUGGACGCGGAAAGGGUGGCUAGGGCUGGCGAAGGAAGGUGCCGAACGUGAACGAUUCGCAGUCUUCCCACACAUAUGACAAGAAAUGACUGAACGUGGAAAGCAAGGAACGGAGUUGGAUAAUGGACGUGUAAAGCGCCACCGUUACUGAAAGUGAUUCGUGACAACGUCCGGUGCAUCACCAAGGCACGAGUCUUUCCGAGACAUAGACAAGCAAGGCCUGCCGGGAAAAUGUGGGCAAAGGAGGUGCCAGGCAUCCGAGGAGACAGUGGUCCUGGCGGAAGCGUCUUGGUGCCACUUCCCAUAGUUGGAUUCGUUGAAAGUCGUCUUCAUCAGCUUCUUGAGAAGACAUUUCAUAACUGGAUGUUUAGGGGACAGUCCGUAUGUCAAUCAUCUCUACAAGACCUGAUGGACAUCAGUCUUUCACGGACAUAUGACAAGAAAUGCCUGGACUUGCUAAGGGCGAAGGAGCUGGGAAUGGAGGCUUCAGGUGCUACCAUCACUGAUGGUGCUUCGUGGCAACAUCCAGUUCAUCACCAAGCCAAGGAGUCAUUCAGUCUCUCCAAGGCUCCUUUUGCACGCAGGGCUUCAGUCCGUUUCUGUGUUAUACAGGCCCAAUGUGUGACUGGUUUGGUUUCUGUGGCUGUGUCGAUGGUCGGCAUUGUUUUUAGCGUUACUCUAAAUUCUGUUUUUUAGAAAACAGGAACUUUCCUGGUUCACCAUCUGGUGUCAUAUCUGUUUUAUGUCGUGGUCAGUGGUUGUCGGGGACCUAGACCAUUACAUAAUCUGCCUCGUGUCGUUAUCUUGGGUCCCGAACCAAGAGAACGACACAGGCCAGAAAUGAAGACAGGUGGUUGAAGAGCCUAUUUGAUAUUAGUAGUUUAGUCCUUUAGACACACUAUACUUUUUGGUGUCGACACAGUCACAGAAACCGAAUCAUUGCAGACAGAAUUGCAGACAAAGUGUACAUUAUGUAUAUCAAGUUGUUAGAUUCAUGUAGUUAAGCUUGCCUAUUCCCAUAUUUUUGAGUCAAGCUUCAUGUUGGUCUCGUAUUGCAAAGAGGUUUGGAGAUACUGAGCUGUGUAGACAUGCGUCUUUUGUAAGUAUUCUUUGUUUUGAAUAUAUCAUAUCAUGCCAUUCCAGUACAGGGUGACUGUCUUUUGUUGUCACUUAGCCUUUGUGUUAAAAAUGCAUUUCAAUUGUAUUAUUGCAAUUCAGUAGAUCGAUUAAUAUUGUCCGUUUAUUGAUGAGUAUAGGUUGUUUGUAGCCUUUUAAAUCAGUCAUUUGGAAAAAUCCCCACCUAAGGCUUAGGCUGACGCUAACACUAACACAAAGACACAGACACGCACACACACUAACAAACUAACCCUUCCAAACACACAAUAACAUACUGAUGCAACAUCUUUUUGUCGAACACUAAUAAUCAGCUCUGCCUAAGCCUUAGACUACAAAAUAACUUUCUAUUCUUCGUCAAGUACAAAGGCGCCAAGCUACCUCUAUACCAUGUAAUGACAAUGUUACAUUUACUGAUCUGAUUUUGGCUCUGUUGGCCACCGUGUCCUAGAGUAAGGGUAAUUGUUAAUCUAUGUAUGGAAGAUGUUAAGAUUUCAGUUCAAUUUUUAAAGUUUUAUAUAGUGCUUGUGUAUUUUUCUCAAUUCAUUGUGUGUUUUUUAGAUUUGCACACUUAUGUUUGCAUAUAUCUAUUUUGUCAAUAAUUGCUAUCAAAUAAACAGUUUGAAAUCAAAUGUGUAGUGUUUAUUCUACCCUAGAAUUGAAAGGAAUGGAUUGUUUCACCCUCCCCACACCCUCAACUAGACGUAAAAUGGAUAGUCCUACCUCCCAAUAUGAAAAGGUUGGGUUCCUUUCCCCAGACCCUUAACCCCACGUGAAAUGGUUGGUCCCUCCUUCCCCAUACCCUUUCCAAGAAACUUUAACCCCACGUGAAAUGGAUGGCCCUCAUUCCAUAUCCUCAAUCCCUUGUGAAAUGGAUGGUCCCCGUUCAUAGAUCUUUAACGCCGCGUAUACCCCAUGCAUAUCAAAUGGCUGGUCCCUCCCUUACCAGACCCUUAACCCCUUGUUAAUGGAUGGUCUCAUUUUCCCCAGAUCCUUAACCCCAUGUGAAAA
Molecule: long non-coding RNA, 2619 nt
Organism: Branchiostoma floridae (Florida lancelet)
Lineage: Eukaryota; Metazoa; Chordata; Leptocardii; Amphioxiformes; Branchiostomatidae
Exons: 4
Source: RefSeq, a predicted model, not a curated record